AAUAUCUCUCAGGGCAGGGUGCGAUUCCCUACCGGCGGUGACAGUCCGCGACUCCCUGAUAACCAGGGACUGAAUCGGUGAAAUUCCGAUACCGACGGUGACAGUCCGGAUGGAAGAGAGGUCAU
Molecule: regulatory RNA element, 125 nt
Organism: Alistipes sp. CAG:831
Lineage: Bacteria; Pseudomonadati; Bacteroidota; Bacteroidia; Bacteroidales; Rikenellaceae
Rfam family: FMN riboswitch aptamer (RFN element)
About the family: The RFN element is a highly conserved domain that is found frequently in the 5'-untranslated regions of prokaryotic mRNAs that encode for flavin mononucleotide (FMN) biosynthesis and transport proteins. This element is a metabolite-dependent riboswitch that directly binds FMN in the absence of proteins.
Source: Rfam